RNAcentral lists this ribosomal RNA (587 nucleotides) under uncultured bacterium. Its description in RNAcentral is "partial 16S ribosomal RNA". It matches the Rfam family "Bacterial small subunit ribosomal RNA", at positions 355 to 1375 of the family's 1533-position model. The record is from RNAcentral.
UGGGGAAUUUUGGACAAUGGGCGAAAGCCUGAUCCAGCAAUGCCGCGUGUGUGAAGAAGGCCUUCGGGUUGUAAAGCACUUUUGUCCGGAAAGAAAUCCUUGGCUCUAAUACAGUCGGGGGAUGACGGUACCGGAAGAAUAAGCACCGGCUAACUACGUGCCAGCAGCCGCGGUAAUACGUAGGGUGCAAGCGUUAAUCGGAAUUACUGGGCGUAAAGCGUGCGCAGGCGGUUUGCUAAGACCGAUGUGAAAUCCCCGGGCUCAACCUGGGAACUGCAUUGGUGACUGGCAGGCUAGAGUAUGGCAGAGGGGGGUAGAAUUCCACGUGUAGCAGUGAAAUGCGUAGAGAUGUGGAGGAAUACCGAUGGCGAAGGCAGCCCCCUGGGCCAAUACUGACGCUCAUGCACGAAAGCGUGGGGAGCAAACAGGAUUAGAUACCCUGGUAGUCCACGCCCUAAACGAUGUCAACUAGUUGUUGGGGAUUCAUUUCCUUAGUAACGUAGCUAACGCGUGAAGUUGACCGCCUGGGGAGUACGGUCGUCAAAGAUUAAAACUUAAAUGAAUUGACGGGGUCAUAGCUGUUUCCU